UUCUCUGAGUGACUUUCGCUAAGAAAGUCUUUUGACACCUCUAAAAAUGGUGUAGAAUAAGGGGUGGGCAAGUCUGGUGUCAGCCGCCGCGGUAAUACCAGCACCCCGAGUGGUCGGGACGAUUAUUGGGCCUAAAGCAUCCGUAGCCGGUUUUACAAGUCCUCCGUUAAAUCCAGCUGCUUAACAGAUGGGCUGCGGAGGAUACUAUAAGACUAGGAGGCAGGAGAGGCAAGCGGUACUCAGUGGGUAGGGGUAAAAUCCGUUGACCCAUUGAAGACCACCAGUGGCGAAGGCGGCUUGCCAGAAUGCGCUCGACGGUGAGGGAUGAAAGCUGGGGGAGCAAACCGGAUUAGAUACCCGGGUAGUCCCAGCUGUAAACGAUGCAGACUCGGUGAUGGACUAGCUUUAUGCUAGUCCAGUGCCGCAGGGAAGCCGUUAAGUCUGCCGCCUGGGUAGUACGGUCGCAAGACUGAAACUUAAAGGAAUUGGCGGGGGAGCACCACAAGGGGUGAAGCCUGCGGUUCAAUUGGAGUCAACGCCGGGAAUCUUACCGGGGGCGACAGCAGGAUGAAGGUCAAGCUGAAGACUUUACUAGACAAGCUGAGAGGAGGUGCAUGGCCGUCGCCAGCUCGUGCCGUGAGGUGUCCUGUUAAGUCAGGUAACGAGCGAGACCCCUGCUUCUAGUUGCUACUUUUAUUCCUCGGAGUAGAAGGGCUAAUUAGAAGGACUGCCGCCGCUAAGGCGGAGGAAGGAGGGGGCUACGGCAGGUCAGUAUGCCCCGAAACCCUCGGGCCACACGCGGGCUGCAAUGGUAAGUACAAUAGGUUCCGAUUCCGAAAGGAGGAGGCAAUCCCGUAAAACUUACCACAGUUAUGAUUGAGGGCUGAAACUCGUCCUCAUGAAUAUGGAAUCCCUAGUAU
RNAcentral lists this ribosomal RNA (920 nucleotides) under uncultured crenarchaeote. RNAcentral describes it as "bacterial SSU rRNA". It matches the Rfam family "Archaeal small subunit ribosomal RNA", at positions 377 to 1297 of the family's 1478-position model. The record is from RNAcentral. Lineage: Archaea; Thermoproteati; Thermoproteota.